Molecule: ribosomal RNA, 420 nt
Filed under: Fusobacteriota bacterium
Lineage: Bacteria; Fusobacteriati; Fusobacteriota
Description: Fusobacteria bacterium partial 16S ribosomal RNA
Rfam family: Bacterial small subunit ribosomal RNA
Source: RNAcentral
UGGGGGAUAUUGCACAAUGGGCGAAAGCCUGAUGCAGCGACGCCGCGUGGGGGAUGAAGGCCUUCGGGUUGUAAACUUCUUUUGCUCUGAACAAGGCAUGCCUUUGGGGUGUGUUGAGUGUAGGGGUUGAUUAGCGCCGGCUAACUACGUGCCAGCAGCCGCGGUAAUACGUAGGGCGCGAGCGUUGUCCGGAAUUAUUGGGCGUAAAGGGCUUGUAGGUGGCUGGUUGCGUCUGUCGUGAAAGCUCAUGGCUUAACUGUGGGUUUGCGGUGGGUACGGGCUGGCUUGAGUGCAGUAAGGGAGGCUGGAAUUCCUGGUGUAGCGGUGGAAUGCGCAGAUAUCAGGAGGAAUACCGGUGGCGAAGGCGGGUCUCUGGGCUGUUACUGACGCUGAGGAGCGAAAGCGUGGGGAGCGAACAGG